This 423-nucleotide ribosomal RNA is filed under the name uncultured bacterium. Its description in RNAcentral is "bacterial SSU rRNA". It matches the Rfam family "Bacterial small subunit ribosomal RNA", at positions 207 to 622 of the family's 1533-position model. The record is from RNAcentral.
AAGACCUUGCGCUUUUGGAGCGGCCGAUGCCUGAUUAGCUUGUUGGUAAGGUAAAAGCUUACCAAGGCUUCGAUCAGUAGCUGGUCUGAGAGGACGACCAGCCACGCUGGGACUGAGACACGGCCCAGACUCCUACGGGAGGCAGCAGUGGGGAAUUUUGGACAAUGGGGGCAACCCUGAUCCAGCCAUGCCGCGUGAGUGAAGAAGGCCUUCGGGUUGUAAAGCUCUUUCAGCCGGAACGAAACGGUUACGGAUAACACCCGUGACUACUGACGGUACCGGAAGAAGAAGCACCGGCUAACUACGUGCCAGCAGCCGCGGUAAUACGUAGGGUGCGAGCGUUAAUCGGAAUUACUGGGCGUAAAGCGUGCGCAGGUGGUUUUGUAAGUCAGAUGUGAAAGCCCCGGGCUCAACCUGGGAACU